GCAAACUUGGUCAUUUAGAGGAAGUAAAAGUCGUAACAAGGUUUCCGUAGGUGAACCUGCGGAAGGAUCAUUAAUGAACUUGUCUCUCUCACUUUGGUUGACUGUUGCGCCUCUGGCUGCACGUUGCCUAGUGGAGGACUAAUUCCAUUAACCCCUUGUGCAUUCUGGGAGGCUUAGCCUCUUCACAUAUACCCUAAUAAAUGUACAUGUCUUAUGUUUAAUUCAUAAUUGUUAAACAACUUUCAACAACGGAUCUCUUGGCUCUCGCAUCGAUGAAGAACGCAGC
This 286-nucleotide unclassified non-coding RNA is filed under the name uncultured fungus. RNAcentral describes it as "partial contains small subunit ribosomal RNA, internal transcribed spacer 1, and 5.8S ribosomal RNA". The stretch from base 1 to 73 matches the Rfam family "Eukaryotic small subunit ribosomal RNA", at positions 1759 to 1831 of the family's 1831-position model. The record is from RNAcentral. Lineage: Eukaryota; Fungi.